GUCUCCAGGAAUGUGGUUUGUUGAAUUUGCAAAUCAGGAUGCUGGUACAAAAAAAAUUCAUAAAAAUAAACAAGAAGGUAGAUGCAAAAAUUGAAAGGGUGAAUAAAAACGGAAAA
This is a long non-coding RNA of Octopus sinensis (East Asian common octopus), 116 nucleotides long. RefSeq lists it as uncharacterized. NCBI's taxonomy places the organism in Eukaryota, Metazoa, Mollusca, Cephalopoda, Octopoda, Octopodidae. The record is from RefSeq and is a predicted model, not a curated record. The transcript is spliced from 3 exons.